GAACAUGUUUUUAAUUAAAUUGAUUAUUGGUGAGAACAUUUAUCACAGAACUGGGACACUUAAUUUUUUUUCCCUUUCUACUAAAGAUGUUCAAAUUUAUAUCUUCCAGAGUAUCCAAAUUAUGUAUCUAGAGAUGAGGCUUGGUUACAUUUUCUACCAGUGCUGCAAGGAAUGAGGUCAGAAAGAAAAAAAUAAAAGACACUGUUUUAUGUAAUGCUCAUGUCAUAAAAAUAUAAUUGAUAUUACCGAAUGUAUUUUCAGUCAUGAAACAAAUUCAUCUUCAGCAUGUACUCCAAUGAAGUGAUAUAAUGAAACUGUUUUCAAGGCUUGAAAUAAUAAUUGUCCUUGUUACAAAUAUCCAACCUUGGGAUAUUUACAGUACCUCGGGAACCUCUACAGAUGACUCUUCCGCUGGUCAUUUUGCUGUCACGUCUGAUAUAAGCAUCAGGGCACAGAAGAAGCACUGAAAGAGGAACAUACGCUACUACUUAACUGUUCGCUUCCAUGACAGAUAUUGAGGGUCAUCAGAUCUAAUGGAAGACACUGAAAACACUGAAAUCUUCAGAGGAGGUGGACUUUAAGGGAUGACUGAGGGAACAAUACACUUGGAAAAGCGGUGAUUUCUGAAUUUUCCUGUGAAUGCAGUGUCACUGUUAUGACUGGAAGAGACGAUACUGUGAUCGUAGGGAGCUUAUGGAGAAAAAAACCAAACAAAUCAGCCAGUGGAAUGGCAACAAACGAGAUGGAUUUGCUGUAACCACAGCAAACGCAGACCCUGGGAAACAAGGAAGGACAAAGAAGACAAAGAAAAUAAUUUGAUUACUUCCUUCCGCUCUUCAUGCUGCUUUUAGCUGUUCUUGGAAACCUGUUAGAAAUCUGGCUAUUUCUAGUUGGCUGAUGUAGAGAGUGAAUUAACGCUGAAGGGCACAGAGCGUGUGAUGAAGCUGUUCUGUC
Phalacrocorax carbo (great cormorant) is the source of this 954-nucleotide non-coding RNA. The record is from RefSeq and is a predicted model, not a curated record. Lineage: Eukaryota; Metazoa; Chordata; Aves; Suliformes; Phalacrocoracidae.